AUCCAAUGACUGAGAUCAAGAUCUUACCUCAUUUCCUUUAUACACAAAAAAGAGGGGAACCCUAAUCCAUUUCCACAAACAGCCGCACCUUCUCUCCCUCUCUCUCUACAAUAUCUCUCUCUCCCUAAAAUUUCUCUCCAUCAUCAGUCAAGCAGCGAUGUCGCAGCCCUCACACCACCAGACGGCGGACCCCGCCGCUGCUCUAAUCCCCUACCCGCCGUCGUCCUCCACCCGUCAACGAACCCGCCCAGAUCUGGCAAAAAACGAGUAACUUCAAAUUUAUUAAACUCAAAACUAACUUAAAGGUAGGUAAAUUCUUCAAUGCAUCAUUGAAUAACUUCGAAAAUUCACUUGCUUGAAAGUAUUUAACUAUAAUAAUAUGCAGGGUAGCAGAACAUGGUGUCCAUCCUUCAUUUCGUACCACCUACAUUUUAUAGAAAAUAAAAAUACAUUUGUGAAGAUACAAAAUGACAUUGUCUAAGUAAUUGUUUUAAGAAUAGAAAAAAAAAAGUUGGGUAAAAGGUUUUGGCAAAAAUGAAAAAACACACAACUUAAUAAAAGCUUGUACAUCAUUUCAAACCCCCCAGAACAUUGCUUUAGUAAAUUGUUUGUUGUGUCUAGGAAUUCAGUAAGCAUGUAUAUACACAAAUUAAUGUUUUUAAUGCAUCUCACCUAUACAAAGUAUUGUAUGACCAAGGAAACAUUAAUCCUCUUGGCGGUAUGCAGAUCUGCGGAAGCUCAGAUCUGCAGGUGAGGCCAUAAGGAUGAUUCAUUUUUCUGUAGAAGUGGACAUUUUAGUCCAACUUCUUUCUAGUACUAAUUACUACCCAUAAUCUGAAAAGAAAAUGAUAGAAAGUGAGCCAUUUUGUAGGUUUAGCUGAGACUUGGUCAAGAAUGUAUUUUUAUUCCGUAUGGGUUCAUUCCCCUUAAAAACGAUGUGCUUGCUACUAUUGUGUCAUGGUGAGUUUGUCUAAGUUCAGUCUUCUAGAUGUUUAUCUUUGGCAGUAAUUGAGCGUUGAUGAUUUAGAGAUGAACCAUUUCGUCCUCAUUCAUGGUGGUGGAUUUGGGGCCUGGUGUUGGUAUAAAACCAUUGCACUCUUAGAAGAAGUUGGAUAUAGAGUUACUGUAGUUGAUUUAACUGGUUCAGGCAUUCAUUCUUUUGACACAAAUAACAUCGCAAGCUUAUCUCAAUAUAUACAGCCGUCACUGAUUUUCUUUAAAAGCUUGCUGAUGGAGAGAAGUGCAUUACACGGAAAGCUAAUUCAGGCGGUAUUUGGAGUCUAUUCGAGUUAGCGGUUGAUCUAUGUAUCUGCAGUUGAACACUAACUUUUCUUAUCUACACUAUGUCUUAUUGUAUUCUGAGACAGAGUUUGUUUCCUUUUGGAUAUCAUAUGUGUAUUUUAAUUUUGAGUUGUAUUAGUUGGUUCGUACACUAUGACACUAGAUUUCGGGAUUUAGUUUGGUAUCUAUGAUUAUAUUUUUGCUUUUACUAUAUAUGUAAGGUUCGACUCUGUUCUAAGGGUCUUGCCUUAGGUUUUUA
Molecule: long non-coding RNA, 1540 nt
Organism: Capsicum annuum
Lineage: Eukaryota; Viridiplantae; Streptophyta; Magnoliopsida; Solanales; Solanaceae
Exons: 2
Source: RefSeq, a predicted model, not a curated record